RNAcentral lists this ribosomal RNA (429 nucleotides) under uncultured prokaryote. RNAcentral describes it as "bacterial SSU rRNA". It matches the Rfam family "Bacterial small subunit ribosomal RNA", at positions 355 to 796 of the family's 1533-position model. The record is from RNAcentral.
UGGGGAAUAUUGCACAAUGGGCGCAAGCCUGAUGCAGCGACGCCGCGUGGGGGAUGACGGCCUUCGGGUUGUAAACCUCUUUCAAUAGGGACGAAGCGCAAGUGACGGUACCUAUAGAAGAAGCACCGGCCAACUACGUGCCAGCAGCCGCGGUAAUACGUAGGGUGCGAGCGUUGUCCGGAAUUACUGGGCGUAAAGAGCUCGUAGGUGGUUUGUCGCGUUGUUCGUGAAAACCGGGGGCUUAACCCUCGGCGUGCGGGCGAUACGGGCAGACUGGAGUACUGCAGGGGAGACUGGAAUUCCUGGUGUAGCGGUGGAAUGCGCAGAUAUCAGGAGGAACACCGGUGGCGAAGGCGGGUCUCUGGGCAGUAACUGACGCUGAGGAGCGAAAGCGUGGGGAGCGAACAGGAUUAGAUACCCCCGUAGUCC